CAUGAAUCACACAGGAAUGUAAAACCCAAACCCAAAUGUGGAAAAUCAGAAAUGUCUGAUGUAGCUGAGAGAUGAUGGCUAUGGCUAGCAGUGAGGCAGGGGGCUGAGUGCUGGCUGUGCAUGCAGCAGGUGGACCACUGAGGGAAGCUGCAGGUUCAGCAUGCCUGUCCCGUCCCUCCCUGGAGGGGUGGGCAGGGAGACCCAGCUCCCUGGAGCCACCCCACGUGCCUGGGAAGGCACUGGGCUGGCAGCUUAUCUGGCACUGGACAGCAGUGUAAUCUGCCUGCUCCAGCCCUGGCCCAAUGGCUCUCAGCCACCCUAGCAGUUUGGCAGUGAGAUGAGUGCGUGUAUUGGAGCCUGGGGGUAGCAUAACGCCUUCGGUACCGACUGCACCUCAACGAAAUGAAACUCAUGUCUGGGCUGCUCAGCUGUUCUGGAAGGCUCAGUGCCAUGGCUGUCCCAGUGUGUUUUUGCUCAGGGGGGUGAGGUGCUGCUCAGCUGGGUCAACAUGAGCAUGUGCUGUGCAGAUAUGUAGCUCUCCUGCUAGGCAGUCUGAAGAAUGUGUGGCAAAAAAGAGAAAGCUGAGAAACUCAGAAGCAGAGAGAUGAUGUGACCAGCAAGCAUGGACUUCACAUAAACAGAUGAAUGCAUGCUGCCGCUGCAAUGCACCUAUGAAAUUGAGAGCUGACAAUAGUGGAGUCAUGACGACAUAAAUCAAGACCUUUAUAGAUGACACGUUGUCACUUGCAGGUAAUCUGGAGCUGUUAAUGCCACACUGUAGUUCUGGAUGGCUAUAUGUAGGUGACUCACAUGGAUCCCUGCAAGUCAUCAGGCUACAAGUGACAUCUAAUAGGUAGAAGAGUAGUCUUCUUUCAGCUUGGUCUGGCAGCAGCACUAGGUGUAUAGUCCCUAUUCUCAUGAUUUAUGCAAUGCCAUUUAGCUAGUGCCACAUUCAUGGCAGUAGAAGGCCUGAUUGAGUGUUCCUGUUUCUCUUGUUCUCGAUUACACUUCUACUUCUAGAACUCAUCAAAAAUCUAUUGCUUUGCUCUCCACAAAAGAAAUCUAAAUAAGUCAAAAAGACUGUUACUGUAAUUUCCACUUUGAGAUGUAUUUUAUUAAAAUGUUAUCCUCUUGAUAAAACAGUGAUCAGUCUCUGAUUGUGCAGUGGUGUUUCAGAGUUAAUUAAUAAAUCAUGCCUAC
This is a long non-coding RNA of Gallus gallus (chicken), 1200 nucleotides long. NCBI's taxonomy places the organism in Eukaryota, Metazoa, Chordata, Aves, Galliformes, Phasianidae. The record is from Ensembl.